CCAACUGUAUUGGAUAAUAAAUGAAUUAUAGGUCACCUUUUAACCUUUAAUUUGUUUCAUAGUACUAUAAAAAGAAAAAAGAAAAACGCAGGUAUAUAAUGAAAAUUUUACUUUCAGUGCAAGUGAAAUUGACCGUCUCAGUCUUAUUCUCCAAACUGGAGCCACAAUGCAGUAAGUCCACAAUUGUAGGACUUUUAUUUUAUUUUGCUGCAUCAUUACAAUUUCCCUUCAGACCCGUUCCAGCAUGACAAUGCCCCUGUGCACAAAGCUCCAUGAAGACACGAUUGGAGCGGAAGAACCUGAGUGUCCUCUGGGAUGAACUGAGGAGAACUAGGAUUAAAAGCACUUAUAGUUAUGUUGGUCAAGUAUCCACAAACCUUUGCCUAUAUAGUGUAUAUCUCUCAUUUGAAAAUAGUUAUUAACAGAGAAACAAAUAAUCACUGACAAAAAUAAAUAGAAACAAUUAAAAAACAGGCAUUUACAAGUCUAUGAACAACAGCUCUGUUCAAAUCAUUUUUCUGCUUGGUCAAGAGGUGUUUAUUAGUUUAUAUUAAUUAUUAUAUAAUAAUAACGUGUUCAUUUUUGUUUCUAUAAUAGCAGCCCAUUUUACAGGGACUGGAAUAUCAGACAAUUUAUUUAAUUUAAGGUUAAUUAAAUGCUGAAUUUGAAUUAUAUUCAACAAGAACAAGAAAGUGUAUAAUAAUUGAUGGGUUUUUGUAGUAAAAUGUUUAUUUGAUUUGCUUAUUUAUGGAAAAUGUAUGAGUCUCCAAUGCCACAGGAUUAUUCUCUGUAUUUUGCAGUGUUUUUUCCCUCCUUUAUUAACCUAUAGGGAAAAACAAAGAGGUCGGCGAGGGAACAGUUGUUUCUAGCUGUUAUAACAUAAGCGAUAACAAGAAGUAACAUGUCUCAAAGAAGCUCCACAGCAAUGCGUUAAAACUCUGAAUGGAUAAAAUGCACUGGCAUAUUGCUAUAGUGUAAGUGGUAGAAGAAACACAUAUAUUAUAUUAUAUAUAACUCUGUAUCACGCCAUGCUGUCACUGAUUUUUUUCCUUCAAGUGUUUUAUUCCUUGCAAAACUAUCACAAAGAAGAAACAUCAGUAAAAGACAAAACAAUUCACAAAGACACAAUACAAUAAAUGCAUUACACAACAUCUCUACUCAACUCCCAAGCGUCACCUGCAGGACCUUCGCAUCUGCCCUGACUGCACCUACAUCUCACAGCCAGGAUUCCCCUACUCCUUUGUUGUCACAUUUCUUAACCAUAGCAGCAGAGAAGAGAUUUUGAGAUGGAGAUACCACAGCUUCCGCUCGGAUCUCAGCGUGUCUGGCGGACAUAUUGUCGUGGAUGAUGGCUCAUCAGUUGAAGCUCAAUCCUAGCAAAACUAAACUGCUGAUCAUCAGGCUGCUCAGGUACUUGUUGUCUCUUGUCUUUUCAAGACUGGAGUACUGCAACUUUCUCCUGUCAGGUCUACCUAUGAACGCAAAUGAUCCAAACUGCAGCUGCACAACUCAUUUUCACCCUGCCUAAGUUCCCCACACCAGCCCAUUGCUGCUGUCCUCCACUGGCUCCUGUAGCUGAACACAUCAGAUUCAAAACACUGAUGCUUGCCUACAAAGCCAAAAACAGACCAGCUCUAUCUCACCUCAAAGCCCUCAUCACUCUUUGCACUGCACCUCGCUCCCUCAGGUCUACCAGCACUGCUCCACUGGUCCCACCAUCUCUCAGAGUAAGAGGGAGGUACACAUCAUGACACUUCUGUUCUGGCACCGAGAUGGUGGAAAGAACUUCCCCUAGGGGUCCGGAAAGCUGAGUCACUGGAUAUCUUCAAUCGAUGGUUGAAGACCUACUUCUUCAUGAAAUACUUGAACUAGCACUUUAUCCCCUGUUUGUUGUCUAUGUGAAUUAAAAAAAAAUUUAAACAGAGUUUUAGGCUCGUGGUAUCUUAAGUCUGUAACCUAGUGGACCAGAGUUAAUGUAUUCAAUGAGAGAGACUCAAAAGCACUUUUGUACGUCACUUUGGAUAAGAGAGUCUGCCAAAUUCUGUAAAUG
This is a long non-coding RNA of Tachysurus vachellii, 2050 nucleotides long. RefSeq lists it as uncharacterized. The record is from RefSeq and is a predicted model, not a curated record. Lineage: Eukaryota; Metazoa; Chordata; Actinopteri; Siluriformes; Bagridae. The transcript is spliced from 3 exons.